GUGCUUGCUUCGGAAGCAUAUAUAAUAAAAUUUGGAACGAUACAGAGAAGAUUAGCAUGGUCCCUGUGCAAGGAUGACAUGCAAAUUCAUGAAGCGUUCCACAUUUUU
Molecule: small nuclear RNA, 108 nt
Organism: Nycticebus coucang (slow loris)
Lineage: Eukaryota; Metazoa; Chordata; Mammalia; Primates; Lorisidae
Source: RefSeq, a predicted model, not a curated record